This 476-nucleotide small RNA is filed under the name Pan troglodytes (chimpanzee). RNAcentral describes it as "processed transcript". The record is from RNAcentral. Lineage: Eukaryota; Metazoa; Chordata; Mammalia; Primates; Hominidae.
GAUCACACCCGAAGGCGUCCGGGAAUCUUCACUUUUUCCGUUGCUAGCAGUGGAAGGGUCACAGACCAAACACUAAGGCCUGAGCGGUGACAACCGAGGCGAGAUGAUGGUCAACAGGGAAUGCCUCGUGGGAGAAAAAAGACAAUUUUAUUCUCAGUGCUGAUUUUGAGAUGAUGGGCUUGGGAAACGGGCGCCGUGGAGCUGAAGAAGAACGAGUUCCAGGGAGAGCUGGAGAAGCAGCGGGAGCAGCUUGACAAAAUCCAGUCCAGCCACAACUUCCAGCUGGAGAGCGUCAACAAGCUGUACCAGGACGAAAAGGCGGUUUUGGUGAAUAACAUCACCACGGGUGAGAGGCUCAUCCGAGUGCUGCAAGACCAGUUAAAGACCCUGCAGAGGAAUUACGGCAGGCUGCACCAGGAUGUCCUCCAGUUUCAGAAGAACCAGACCAACCUGGAGAGGAAGUUCUCCUACGACCU